AUCUAAAGUUUGAAAUUCUUUUUCAAAUCAAAGGCACUGCCAAACUCAGAAGCAACUGUGUGAAGAAAAUGUGUGGAAACACCACUCAUUACAGUAUAUUUAUCAAAUGAAGGAUUGGUUGGCCUGGCUUCCUUGACAAAAGCUCUUGGAGAUGUCAUCGUGCAGUUGUACAACUUCAGAUUU
Non-coding RNA from Ictidomys tridecemlineatus (thirteen-lined ground squirrel), 183 nucleotides. NCBI's taxonomy places the organism in Eukaryota, Metazoa, Chordata, Mammalia, Rodentia, Sciuridae. The record is from RefSeq and is a predicted model, not a curated record.